RNAcentral lists this ribosomal RNA (1216 nucleotides) under metagenome. Its description in RNAcentral is "bacterial LSU rRNA". It matches the Rfam family "Bacterial large subunit ribosomal RNA", at positions 1590 to 2815 of the family's 2925-position model. The record is from RNAcentral.
GCAGUGUACGUCAGACUUCCAAGAAAAGCUCGCUAUGUCAUAAGUAAAAAAUGCCUGUACCAUAACCGACACAGGUGGGUAGGUAGAGUAUACUAAGGGGCGCGAGAUAACUCUCUCUAAGGAACUCGGCAAAAUGACUCCGUAACUUCGGGAGAAGGAGUGCCUUAUUUAUAAGGUUGCAAUAACAAGAUCCAAGCAACUGUUUAUCAAAAACACAGGUCUCCGCUAAGUCGUAAGACGAUGUAUGGGGGCUGACGCCUGCCCAGUGCCAGAAGGUUAAAGAAGUUGGUUAGUGUAUGCGAAGCUGAUGACUGAAGCCCUGGUGAACGGCGGCCGUAACAAUAACGGUCCUAAGGUAGCGAAAUUCCUUGUCGGGUAAGUUCCGACCCGCACGAAAGGCGUAAUGAUUUGGAUACUGUCUCGGAGAGAGGCUCGGUGAAAUAGACUUGUCUGUGAAGAUGCGGACUACCUGCACCAGGACAGAAAGACCCUAUGAAGCUUUACUGUAACUUGAAAUUGGAAUUGGACUUUGCUUGCGCAGUAUAGGUGGGAAGCGUUGAAGAUAUUCUUGCGGGAGUAUUGGAGCUAUCAGUGAGAUACCACUCUUGUAAUGUUAGAUUUCUAACUUUGAACCAUAAUCUGGUCAAAGAACAGUUUCAGGUGGGCAGUUUGACUGGGGCGGUCGCCUCCCAAAUGGUAACGGAGGCGUACAAAGGUUUCCUCUGAACGGAUAGAAAUCGUAUCUAGAGUGUAAAGGCAUAAGGAAGCUUGACUGUGAGACCUACAAGUCGAGCAGGGACGAAAGUCGGUCUUAGUGAUCUGACGGUACUGAGUGGAAAGGCCGUCACUCAACGGAUAAAAGUUACUCUAAGGAUAACAGGCUGAUCUCCCCCAAGAGUUCACAUCGACGGGGAGGUUUGGCACCUCGAUGUCGGCUCAUCGCAUCCUGGGGCGGUAGUACGUCCCAAGGGUUGGGCUGUUCGCCCAUGAAAGCGGUACGCGAGCUGGGUUCAGAACGUCGUGAGACAGUUCGGUCCAUAUCCGGUGUAGGCGUUAGAAUAUUGAGAGGAGCCUUCUUUAGUACGAGAGGACCGAGAAGGACACACCGCUGGUGUACCAGUUAUCGUGCCAACGGUAAACGCUGGGUAGCUAUGUGUGGAGUGGAUAACCGCUGAAAGCAUCUAAGUGGGAAGCCCACCUCAAGAUGAGUAUUCUC